RNA transcript from Homo sapiens (human), 448 nucleotides. It is a transcript of the gene named major histocompatibility complex, class II, DP beta 2 (pseudogene), with no coding region annotated. The record is from RefSeq and is marked validated. Lineage: Eukaryota; Metazoa; Chordata; Mammalia; Primates; Hominidae.
CUCCUAGUCCAGCCUAGGGUGAACAUCUCCCCUCCAAGAAGGAGCCCCAGCAGCACCACGACCUGCUUGUCUACCACGUGACAGAUUUCUACCCAGACAGCAUUCAAGUCCGAUGCUUCCUGAAUGGACAGGAGGAAACAGCUGGGGUCGUGUCCACCAACCUGAUCCGUAAUGGAGACUGGACCUUCCAGAUCCUGGAGAUGCUGGAAAUGACCCCCCAGCAGGGAAACAUCUACACCUGCCAAGUGGAGCACCCCAGCCUGGACAGUCCUGUCACCGUGGAGUGGAAGGCACAGUCUGAUUCUGUGCAGAGCAAGAUGCUGACAGGAGCCAGGGGCUUCAUGCUGGGGCUCAUCAUCUGUGGAGUGGACAUCUUCACGCACAGAAGGAGGAAGAAAGUUCAACAAGGAUCUGCAUAAACAGGCAAUAUUCCUGCUUUGAUUUCCUU